GUGGGGAAUCUUGCGCAAUGGGCGAAAGCCUGACGCAGCGACGCCGCGUGGGGGAUGAAGCUUUUCGGAGCGUAAACCCCUUUCGACCGGGACGAAUGCCCGCAAGGGCUUGACGGUACCGGUAGAAGAAGCCCCGGCUAACUACGUGCCAGCAGCCGCGGUAAAACGUAGGGGGCCAGCGUUGCUCGGAAUUACUGGGCGUAAAGGGUCUGUAGGCGGUGCGGCAAGUCGGAAGUGAAAUCGCAGGGCUUAACUCUGCGGCUGCUUCCGAAACUGCCGUGCUCGAGUGUGAGAUAGGCGAGUGGAAUUGCAGGUGUAGCGGUGAAAUGCGUAGAUAUCUGCAGGAACAUCCGAGGCGAAAGCGGCUCGCUGGAUCACAACUGACGCUGAGAGACGAAAGCUAGGGGAGCAAACAGGAUUAGAAACCCCAGUAGUCC
Molecule: ribosomal RNA, 437 nt
Filed under: uncultured bacterium
Lineage: Bacteria
Description: bacterial SSU rRNA
Rfam family: Bacterial small subunit ribosomal RNA
Source: RNAcentral